UACAGAGGUCUCAAGCGUUGUUCGGAAUCACUGGGCGUAAAGGGUGCGUAGGUGGCGUGGUAAGUCAGAUGUGAAAGCCCGGGGCUCAACCUCGGAAUUGCAUCCGAUACUGCCGUGCUAGAGUACUGAAGAGGUUACUAGAAUUCUCGGUGUAGCAGUGAAAUGCGUAGAUAUCGAGCGGAAUACCAACGGCGAAGGCAGGUCACUGGGCAGUUACUGACACUGAGGCACGAAGGCCAUGGGAGCAAACGGG
This 253-nucleotide ribosomal RNA is filed under the name uncultured bacterium. RNAcentral describes it as "partial 16S ribosomal RNA". It matches the Rfam family "Bacterial small subunit ribosomal RNA", at positions 524 to 776 of the family's 1533-position model. The record is from RNAcentral.